This 754-nucleotide ribosomal RNA is filed under the name uncultured fungus. Its description in RNAcentral is "eukaryotic LSU rRNA". The stretch from base 250 to 403 matches the Rfam family "5.8S ribosomal RNA". The record is from RNAcentral. Lineage: Eukaryota; Fungi.
AAGUCGUAACAAGGUUUCCGUAGGUGAACCUGCGGAAGGAUCAUCAUUGAAUUAUCCAUUCUACAAACCCUGUGAACUGUAUGUAAAAAGAGUGUUUGGCAGGAAGACUUUGCCGAGUCGUGUCUCUCCGCGGAGGGGCAGCAGAGUACUGCUGUGCUACCCCAAAGCGGAUGAGCGACUGCCAUUUGCUCGCCUUUUAAAAAACGCUUUAAACAAUUAUUACUGAUACAAAUAAAUAAACUAUAAAACAACUUUCAACAAUGGAUCUCUUGGCUCUCGCAUCGAUGAAGAACGCAGCAAAUUGCGAAAAGUAAUGUGAAUUGCAGAAUUCCGUGAAUCAUCGAAUCUUUGAACGCAUAUUGCACUCUUUGGUUCUCCAGAGAGUAUGCCUGUUUGAGUAUCAUUAAUCUCUCUUUCCCUACCAAAGGGCGUUUACUCGCUUUGCGGAUAUGGUGUAAAGGAUUUGAGCAUUCUAGUGCACUUUAAGCAGUUGGCUUGAAACAUCGUCGCCUUAAGGGUUGACGAGAGCGCGUCUAGUUGCUUGAAAUGAAGCGCGUGCUGUGCUUUGCCACAUUCACGACCGGCGUAUUUAGUUCUCCUUGGAGAUUCACUUUACGCCAAGCAGGUCUGGAUAACCUUAUUUAUUAUAAUAAGGGCAUACAGUCGCGACAAAUCAUUUGACGGGGAGGGGAGCUACCAUCUCUCUCCCCCUACUUCCGAUCUCAAAUCAGGCAAGACUACCCGCUGAAUUUAA